This 497-nucleotide ribosomal RNA is filed under the name uncultured bacterium. RNAcentral's name for it is "partial 16S ribosomal RNA". It matches the Rfam family "Bacterial small subunit ribosomal RNA", at positions 28 to 507 of the family's 1533-position model. The record is from RNAcentral.
GACGAACGCUGGCGGCGUGCCUAAUACAUGCAAGUUGAGCGCUGAAGGUUGGUACUUGUACCAACUGGAUGAGCAGCGAACGGGUGAGUAACGCGUGGGGAAUCUGCCUUUGAGCGGGGGACAACAUUUGGAAACGAAUGCUAAUACCGCAUAAAAACUUUAAACACAAGUUUUAAGUUUGAAAGAUGCAAUUGCAUCACUCAAAGAUGAUCCCGCGUUGUAUUAGCUAGUUGGUGAGGUAAAGGCUCACCAAGGCGAUGAUACAUAGCCGACCUGAGAGGGUGAUCGGCCAGAUUGGGACGGAGACACGGCCCAAACUCCUACGGGAGGCAGCAGUAGGGAAACUUCGGCAAUGGACGAAAGUCUGACCGAGCAACGCCGCGUGAGUGAAGAAGGUUGUCGGAUCGUGAAACUCUGUUGGUAGAGAAGAACGUUGGUGAGAGUGGAAAGCUCAUCAAGUGACGGUAACUACCCAGAAAGGGACGGCUAACUACGUG